ACCCUCUCAGGAUAGCACCUGGAGAGUUUCCAGUACUCCAACAGUGUUGGCUACAGGAGGGAGAGUCAAGCAAAAGACUAACCAUUCCAUUCCUAGCUUGGCCAGUGGCUAGUGAGUGGAAGGCAAUCUGCUACAAGU
Molecule: small nucleolar RNA, 138 nt
Organism: Tachyglossus aculeatus (Australian echidna)
Lineage: Eukaryota; Metazoa; Chordata; Mammalia; Monotremata; Tachyglossidae
Source: RefSeq, a predicted model, not a curated record